UUUCUCUGUAAAGUGGAGUCUCCGGCCAGAAUUAAUUAGAACAGCACUUUUGUGGCUUGUACAUGGACACUCAUCUUCAUUUCUUGGACUCUGAGCCUCAAUUUCUCAUUCAAGUGGAGAAAGCAUAUAACAAGAAUAUGGAGAGAAGAUGUCAAAUCUGAAAAGCACUUAAAAGUAUGAAACAUCGAGAAGAACUAGAAGAUGGCCAAAUAGGAACAGCACUGGACUGCAGCUCCCAGCGAAAUCAAUGCCAAAUCAAUGCAGAAAGGAGCAAACUCAAGUCCUGCAUCUCAUCCCUGAUGCCCCUUCCUCAGUCUACUCACAUGAGCAUAACUCAGGAA
Molecule: long non-coding RNA, 341 nt
Filed under: Homo sapiens (human)
Lineage: Eukaryota; Metazoa; Chordata; Mammalia; Primates; Hominidae
Description: HSALNT0407130
Source: RNAcentral